GGGCCUGUAGCUCAGUUGGUUAGAGCAGAGGACUCAUAAUCCUUUGGUCGUAGGUUCGAGUCCUACCGGGCCCA
Molecule: transfer RNA, 74 nt
Filed under: Gammaproteobacteria bacterium
Lineage: Bacteria; Pseudomonadati; Pseudomonadota; Gammaproteobacteria
Also listed under: 1 other name
Description: tRNA-Ile
Rfam family: tRNA
About the family: Transfer RNA (tRNA) molecules are approximately 80 nucleotides in length. Their secondary structure includes four short double-helical elements and three loops (D, anti-codon, and T loops).
Source: RNAcentral